GCUCAACUCUGUGAAUAUUUUUUCUUAUGGGAAACUAAUAUGUGUUAAUUUAUUCCUCUCAGGUCAUGAAUGCUUACAUGUACCAUUUGGUACAAAAAUACAAUAAGCAUUCAACAAAAAAGGCUAUGUGCAUUGAUUCGUAUGAAAUGAGCAACAUCUGGCAAUAUAAAAGGGCAAAGGUCAAGUUUGCAGAAUGCUUCUUAAAUGAUGAGCCGCUUCAGUUUUCCACAUCUGAAAAAAGUGUGGCUGCCCUAAGAAUGACUAUAGCUGCUUGUCUCCUGUAGAACACUGUCUGCCUUGGCAUGAUAUUUGACUAGCUAACGUUAAGAACCUGUGCCAUCUAUGUGGGGAAAGAAGCAGUGGUCAAAAAUUGACUAACUGGAUUGGCUGUGAUGUUUGCCCAUGUUGGUUCCAUUACAACUGUGUCCAACGCUCAAGAAAACACUGAAGUUACAUCUGCCCCGUUUGUGAAUCUUGAAUCUUGAAUCUUACACUCACAUGUCGAUUUACAGCGAUCAUUUAUUUUAUGUAAUGUAAGUGUUAAGUUUUAUUUCUUUUACAGUUUUAUUUUAAAACAUUGUUUGCUUAUUGUAAUUUCCAUGUCAUUUUAAUACUACUACUGUAAUACCGUUAAUGUAACACUAUGUAAACUGUUAAUAAAAACACCUAA
Onychostoma macrolepis is the source of this 670-nucleotide long non-coding RNA. RefSeq lists it as uncharacterized. The transcript has 4 exons. The record is from RefSeq and is a predicted model, not a curated record. Lineage: Eukaryota; Metazoa; Chordata; Actinopteri; Cypriniformes; Cyprinidae.